GAGGGUUUUACUGUCUCUUGCUUCCAAUCAGUGAAAUUGACCUUCCCGUGAAGAGGCGGGAAUACAUUAAUAAGACGAGAAGACCCUAUGGAGCUUUAACUACUUGACCCAAAAAUAAAUUUCAUCGCUAGGAACAAAACACUCUUCAUGGGCCAACAGCUUUGGUUGGGGUGACCUCGGAGAACAAGAAAUCCUCCGAGCGAUUUUAAAGACUAGACCUACAAGUCAAUCACGCAAUCGUUUAUUGAUCCAAAAUGAUCAACGGAACAAGUUACCCUAGGGAUAACAGCGCAAUCCUAUUCAAGAGUCCAUAUCGACAAUAGGGUUUACGACCUCGAUGUGGGAUCAGGACAUCCCGAUGGUGCAACCGCUAUCAAAGGUUCGUUUGUUC
This 391-nucleotide ribosomal RNA is filed under the name Axis axis (chital). RNAcentral's name for it is "partial 16S ribosomal RNA". It matches the Rfam family "Bacterial large subunit ribosomal RNA", at positions 2006 to 2582 of the family's 2925-position model. Lineage: Eukaryota; Metazoa; Chordata; Mammalia; Artiodactyla; Cervidae. The record is from RNAcentral.